UACAGAGGUCUCAAGCGUUGUUCGGAUUCAUUGGGCGUAAAGGGUGCGUAGGUGGCGCGCUAAGUCGGGUGUGAAAUUUCGGAGCUUAACUCCGAAACUGCAUUCGAUACUGGCGUGCUUGAGGACUGGAGAGGAGACUGGAAUUCAUGGUGUAGCAAUGAAAUGCGUAGAGAUCAUGAGGAAGACCAGUGGCGAAGGCGGGUCUCUGGACAGUUCCUGACACUGAGGCACGAAGGCCAGGGGAGCAAACGGG
This 253-nucleotide ribosomal RNA is filed under the name uncultured bacterium. RNAcentral describes it as "partial 16S ribosomal RNA". It matches the Rfam family "Bacterial small subunit ribosomal RNA", at positions 524 to 776 of the family's 1533-position model. The record is from RNAcentral.